RNAcentral lists this transfer RNA (45 nucleotides) under Hemidactylus albofasciatus (white-striped viper gecko). RNAcentral's name for it is "partial tRNA-Cys". The record is from RNAcentral. Lineage: Eukaryota; Metazoa; Chordata; Lepidosauria; Squamata; Gekkonidae.
GUGCCAGAGUGCAAAUCUGGAGAAGCACAUAAGGUGCCGGGGCUU